GGCACCCUCGUUGGUCGUGGGGAGUCAGGUAAGGCACUGGUCUGACCAGCUCCAGAGACGGAGGACUAAAGUCACCUCUGGAACCUGAGCCACAGGAGGCUAAAGAGGAGGUGGAGGCGGUGUCGUCCUCAAAUCUGUGCGGAAUACGGUCACGGAUGUCCAAGUUCUUCAAGGAAAAAAGCAAAAAGUGACCAGCUUCCAGACCAAAAUGCCAUUUAUUCAGUCAGAG
Long non-coding RNA from Salvelinus sp. IW2-2015, 229 nucleotides. RefSeq lists it as uncharacterized. The record is from RefSeq and is a predicted model, not a curated record. NCBI's taxonomy places the organism in Eukaryota, Metazoa, Chordata, Actinopteri, Salmoniformes, Salmonidae.